Molecule: long non-coding RNA, 449 nt
Filed under: Nicotiana benthamiana
Lineage: Eukaryota; Viridiplantae; Streptophyta; Magnoliopsida; Solanales; Solanaceae
Description: long non-coding RNA (NBEN_LNC018457)
Source: RNAcentral
CCACUUGAUUUGCUCCAUUCUUGAAGUGAAUGUGACAGCAACGUAUAAUGAGUCUGAAUGAAGAUAAGUGGUUGAACAAUAAACGUGAGCGUUCCAAAGAUCAAAAAAAUAACAAUCAUCACUGUAAUUAUAAAAGGAGAAUAAAAAAAAUUCUCAAAAUAGUCCUUCAAAAUGUGAAGGCAGUAUUUACCAUCAAAUAGGUAUGAAAAUAGUAAAGCACGUCACUAAUUAUGAUCCAUUCCUUGAAAAAAUGUGACUUGUGAUAAGCAUUGAAAAUGCAGACUCAUUCCUAUAUAUGAAUGUGGUAAUACAUGAUAAACGCAAUGAAUAAAUACAUGCAAGGCAUGCUUGGAUGAAUACCACACAACUCGCCCUUGAGAGAGGAUUGAGUGAAAUAAAGAGAAUAAAUAUUAUUGUGUGGUUACAUGAAUAUGUCAUUGGUCUCGUAN